AGUGUAAAGCUUACUGCCUUUCUGUUUUGAGAGUUUUGAAAACGGCAGUCAUGGCUGUGUUUGGAGUCAACUACAAUCCAACUCCAUCUUGCUUGUUUCAGUUAUGGGAUUGCUCGAAACGCGGGCUACAAAAAGAGAAGACCCCGUAGUCUGUUCGUUUUCUUGACAAUGAAUGAAAAAAGAAAUAUUAGCAGAGGUAACUCUGCCUGGUGAACUGUGUGGUUUUCCAUCGAUAAACUACUGACUGCUGUUAAGGUCUGAUUUCUCUGUGUGCUCCUGGAAGUUGUAAGAAGUGUGCAGUCACCCAGUACUGCUCUGUAGACAUUGGAAUACACCCGUCGUGAAGGAUGAGGGGUGAGCUUCGUCUCGAUCAGGAGAUCUGUGUCGGGCAUGGGCACCGCCGUUUCUAUUCAGUGCUCCCCUGGAGGAGGUCUUUGCGUCAUGAUGUCAAGCUGGGCUUGCCAAGUUGCUCUCAGCUCGUGUAGCAAACUGUUCGUUAGCAGCAUGUAGCGACACAUUUUAAACGGAGACGGAUUCAGUCACUUUGGAUUUGUCACAAGCAUGCUGAGAAUCUAAAUAAAACAUUUGAAACUUUUUUUUUUUUGUGGGGGUGGGUUAAGGAAUAUUUAGGUGUCGGGUGAUUUAAAUUUGCAUUGCUGUUCACAUUAUGACUUGCUGUGAUUACUGUUUAAUAUGAGGACACAUGGGUUCAAUUGACUGUGAAGAACAUCUGCAGUGUAUCCUGUAACAAAAUCUACAUUGGUUCACAAGGGUUUCUUUUUUUCUAAAUGUUGAUUGUGAUUGAUUAGAAGUUAUGGGUGAAUUACAUCUGCAAUCUUAACAUGUUGAGAAGAAACAGCUGGUUACAAUAUCUUAAAGGAUUUGCUGCUUCCACCUUGUACGCACGCUGAUCAAGGCCUUAGCCAAAGCAGCCUGUUGGCCUUCCAGUUUAGCAGUGGUGGGGCUGAAAGUAAUGCGUUCUGCACCACAGCCCAUGCGUGUGUGCUUUGGUCUAUCUUUCAGUAAUGUAAACCCAUCCUUCAGUAGGAAGCUAUACUAACGUCCUGUCAAUCGCAAGUCCCUGUUUCUAUGUGAGUGAAAGUUUUUAAGUGGUUUCUAUGAUCAACCGCAAGCGGUACAUAGUAAAAGCAUUUCCAGUCCAAGCUUGUUGUUUUUCUAAGGCUGAGUGUUUGAACUUGAAUUGCAUUUAAUUAGAGGUCAGCGGGGGUCUUUCAACUAGUCAUCUGUGUUUUUCUCUAGCCACACAAAUACUGACCAAAACCGGAAACUUACGGUUAGCAUCCUAUACUGCAGUCAUUACACAUCUAAACUAGUUCAUGUUUGGCAGUGAAUAUGCAUUUUUGUUACUUAAAAGAAAAAGUGACCGGUGGUACCGACUUCUUCUGUUGUCCUGACAGAAACAUUUCGUGGUACUUUUGUAGGUACUGCGGUGAGGACGUAGAAUGGGUUACCUAGUCAUGAAACACAGUAACGCUACAAAGUUUUGAGAUAAAUCACCUACUAUGAACCGGGUGAACAUUGAUGGGCAAAAUGGCCUCUUCUUUUUUGUUAAUGUUCCUAUGUUCUAUUAAUCCCU
This is a long non-coding RNA of Polyodon spathula (Mississippi paddlefish), 1597 nucleotides long. RefSeq lists it as uncharacterized. The record is from RefSeq and is a predicted model, not a curated record. Lineage: Eukaryota; Metazoa; Chordata; Actinopteri; Acipenseriformes; Polyodontidae. The transcript is spliced from 4 exons.